This 114-nucleotide unclassified non-coding RNA is filed under the name uncultured Bullera. RNAcentral's name for it is "sequence contains ITS1". The record is from RNAcentral. Lineage: Eukaryota; Fungi; Basidiomycota; Tremellomycetes; Tremellales.
AUGAUUGACCGAAAGGUCUUAUCAACUAUCCAACACCUCUUGUGAACCGUUGACCUCCGGGUCUCUUUAUACAAACAUCAGUGUAAUGAACGUCAUGUUAUCUUAACAAAAACA